RNAcentral lists this ribosomal RNA (487 nucleotides) under uncultured bacterium. Its description in RNAcentral is "partial 16S ribosomal RNA". It matches the Rfam family "Bacterial small subunit ribosomal RNA", at positions 28 to 507 of the family's 1533-position model. The record is from RNAcentral.
GAUGAACGCUAGCGAUAGGCUUAACACAUGCAAGUCGAGGGGCAGCACAAGGUAGCUUGCUAUCUGGGUGGCGACCGGCGCACGGGUGCGUAACGCGUAUGCAUCUUGCCCUAUACAGGAGGAUAACCCGUCGAAAGACGGACUAAUACUGCGUAUGCUCACAACUUGGCAUCAAGUGGUGAGGAAAGAAAUUCGGUAUAGGAUAGGCAUGCGUCCCAUUAGCUUGUUGGUGAGGUAACGGCUCACCAAGGCAACGAUGGGUAGGGGAACUGAGAGGUUUAUCCCCCACACUGGUACUGAGACACGGACCAGACGCCUACGGGAGGCAGCAGUGAGGAAUAGUGGUCAAUGGGCGCGAGCCUGAACCAGCCAAGUCGCGUGAAGGAUGACUGUCUUAUGGAUUGUAAACUUCUUUUAUACGGGAAGAACAAGAGUCACGUGUGACUCCCUGCAUGUACCGUAUGAAUAAGCAUCGGCUAACUCCGUG